UUGUUAACCCAACCUGUAAAUGGUGAAUGUACACUAGAUUGCGGUAAAUUGCCGCGUGCCGUUUAGGCCGCCCAUUGUGACUCGCUUGCUGGCAGCAUGAUCGAUUGUGCGUCAAUUGUCCACAUGGCUGGGAGAACCUAUUCAAGUAGCUAGCCAACAGCCAUGGAGGAGGGUGAAAGGAUAGCAGCCCCAACUGUCAAAGUGAGAGAGUAGGCUAUUCUGGAUAGGGCAGGUAACGUUAUUUUUGUGUAGUUCCUGUCCCUAAAAGUGAGGACAGAGAUAAUAUUAACAUAAUAUUCAGUGCGGUGUAAUUUGACUAUAAUGAAGUCUGUUUCUUGUGAGGUUUUCUGUCCUCAGAUAAAGAGGGCUAUGAAAGCCUGUCUACAUAUGAAGAGGUCCCAAUGAAGAGCAGUGGUUCUCAGUCCUGGUCCUGGGGACUCAUUUUUGUUUUUGCAUUAGCACUGCACAGCUGAUUCAAAAUUCAAAUGAUCAACUUAUCAUCCAGCUUCAAGUGAUUCCUUGUAACUGGAGAUUCCUUCAAAACGGUUGCCUACAGUUACUGUGUAGGGCACUGCAAUGUUGGGUGACCAGGGCUAUCUGAGACUGCCUCCUGGAUAAAUUCAGGUGUGUGAAGGCUACCCAGUGUCCUGCAUAACUUCAUGAAGAUGGACACGAGAUCCAGGAGGGGAUCUGCAGCUCGCCGUCGUGUGCCAGAGGAGAAGUCUUCUGCUCUGCAGGAUGUUUCAAGGAUGGGGUCCAACAAUACAGCAAGAGAGGCAAUCCGUGUGCAGGAGAUCUUCACCUCCUACUUCUUCGAAGAGGGUGCUGUUCCCUGGCAACACCAUAGACCACACUGUGCACAACCAAAGUCUAUUGUAUGAGUCAUUCACAUUGCAAUUACGAGUCUUCUUCCAUUUACUUAGCUAUGUCAACUGCAGUUAUUCAAUUCUCUGUUUCUCUCCCUUUGAUUUCUACUUCUCAUGUGAGGGUGCUGUUUAGGUAAGGGUCUGUACAAAAACAAAACAGGCUAUUUCAGAUCACCCAUAUUGAAAAAAUGUAGAACAAUUAGACACCCUAUAACCCACACCUACACACUCAUGUAUCAAUCUGAUUGAUUGAUUGUGUUGUGCACUAAGUAGGCUCGUGUGUAUAACUAUGUUUUUUUUCUACCUUCAAAGAAUAUACAAUGACGCGGCUAAUUUAUGGAUUUUUCCCGCUUUCACAAGAUUCAUGGCCCCUGCAUCAUAUGCAUUUCUCUGUGUCUUUGCCAUGAUGAGGGUGACAAAAUUACUACCGUAAUCAGAAU
Oncorhynchus gorbuscha (pink salmon) is the source of this 1306-nucleotide long non-coding RNA. RefSeq lists it as uncharacterized. Lineage: Eukaryota; Metazoa; Chordata; Actinopteri; Salmoniformes; Salmonidae. The transcript is spliced from 3 exons. The record is from RefSeq and is a predicted model, not a curated record.